GAUGAACGCUGACAGAAUGCUUAACACAUGUAAGUCGAUGGGGAAGUGGUGCUUUCACCAUGGUCACCAUGGCGGACGGGUGAGUAACGCGUAAGGAACUUGCCUGCGGGACUGUGAUAACAGCAGGAAACUGCUGAUAAUACCGGAUAAGGUCAUUACUCUUCCUUGCUUAGUGAUGAAAGGAGACGCCUGCGGAGAGCCUUGCGUCCUAUUAGCUAGUUGGAGGGGUAACGGCCCACCAAGGCGAAGAUAGGUAGCCGGCCUGAGAGGGUGGACGGCCACAAGGAGACAGAGAUACGGCACAUACUCCUACGGGAGGCAGGAGGGGGGAAUAUUGGAAAAUGGGGGCAACCCUGAUCCAGCAAUUCUGUGUGCACGAAGACGGUUUUCGGAGUGUAAAGGGCUUGCAGGAGGGAAGAAGGAAGUGACGGUACCGGCAGAAGAAGCGACGGCUAAAUACGUG
Molecule: ribosomal RNA, 463 nt
Filed under: uncultured bacterium
Lineage: Bacteria
Description: partial 16S ribosomal RNA
Rfam family: Bacterial small subunit ribosomal RNA
Source: RNAcentral